Molecule: small RNA, 4234 nt
Filed under: Pan troglodytes (chimpanzee)
Lineage: Eukaryota; Metazoa; Chordata; Mammalia; Primates; Hominidae
Description: retained intron
Source: RNAcentral
UCCAAACAUCCCUGCAUCUCUGCCUCAGAGCUUUUGCUCAAAAUAUAUAGUGUGCUUCUAUUUCCCUUCAAGAUUCAGCUCCAGAGCUACUUCCAUAAAACUUCUCAAGAUAUAGCCCAUUAAAAUUCAUCUUUUUCUUCUCAUCUCUAUUAAUAAUUUGGACCUCGCUUAUAGCAGUUAGCACAUUUACCCUGUGGUAUAGUUAUUUGCCUGCAUAUGUGUAUUUUUGAUUAUAAGAUUCCAUCAUUUCAUGUAGUUGACACUCAAUAGAUGUUGACUGAAUUGAAUCUAAACUCUCUCAUUUUAUAGUUGGGGAAACUGGAAUCCAGAGAGGACACAAAGUGACAGAGCCAGGACUAAUUUCAGGGUCUUCUGUCUUUUGUUUCAACAAGUUUCCGUCUGCAGUAGCAUGCUGACAUGCAUCCUAUGGAUGCUCAGUGUACUGAUGUUGGGCAAUUCAGUAUUGUGGUGCAGAACAAACACCAGGUCCCAUCUACAAGUCUUUUAUCCAUAUAAAAAAGUACACGUGUUAUUUGAAAUCUUUGUACAUAUGAAGAUUAUAAUGUAUUUUUAUUCUGUUUUCAGCUUCAUGUUUCCUGUUGCAGGUGGGAUAAGACCCCCUCAAGCAGGCCUGAUGCCGAUGCAGCAACAAGGAUUUCCUAUGGUCUCUGUCAUGCAGCCUAAUAUGCAAGGCAUUAUGGGAAUGAAUUACAGCUCUCAGAUGUCCCAAGGACCUAUUGCUAUGCAGGCAGGAAUACCAAUGGGACCAAUGCCAGCAGCGGGAAUGCCUUACCUAGGACAAGCACCCUUCCUGGGCAUGCGUCCUCCAGGCCCACAAUACACUCCAGACAUGCAGAAGCAGUUUGCCGAAGAGCAGCAGAAACGAUUUGAACAGCAGCAAAAACUCUUAGAAGAAGAAAGAAAAAGACGCCAGUUUGAAGAGCAGAAGCAAAAGCUCAGACUUUUGAGCAGUGUGAAACCCAAGACAGGAGAGAAGAGUAGAGAUGAUGCUUUGGAAGCCAUAAAAGGAAAUUUAGAUGGGUUUUCCAGAGAUGCAAAAAUGCACCCUACUCCAGCAUCGCACCCCAAGAAACCAGAUUGCCCCACAUCAUCUCAUUCUACUAAAACUGUCUCCCCAUCACCUGCCUUUCUUGAUGAAGAAGAAUUCAGUGACUUUAUGCAGGGGCCUGUUGAAGUUCCCCCAUGUGGGCCUUCUUCCACGUCCCAGCCCUUUCAGUCUUUCCACCCCUCCACCCCACUUGGCCAGUUGCAUACACAGAAGGCUGGGACACAGCCUCUCCCUCCAAGUCAGAGUCCAGUGCCUUUUGCCUUACAUGGCGUCCCUGGGCAAAUUCCUUACUUCUCUACUGCUUCAGCCUCACACAGUGUACCAGAAGCAGGCCCUUCCUUGGAGGAGAAGUUCCUAGUAUCUUGUGAUAUAAGUACAUCUGGGCAGGAACAAAUUAAAUUAAAUACUUCUGAAGUUGGCCACAAAGCCCUAGGCCCAGGUUCCAGUAAGAAGUAUCCCAGUUUAAUGGCCAGUAACGGGGUUGCUGUAGAUGGAUGUGUAAGUGGUACCACCACUGCAGAGGCAGAAAAUACUUCAGAUCAAAACCUGUCAAUUGAAGAGAGUGGUGUGGGAGUAUUUCCCUCACAGGAUCCUGCUCAGCCCAGAAUGCCUCCUUGGAUUUACAAUGAGAGUUUGGUUCCAGAUGCCUAUAAGAAAAUCUUAGAAACCACAAUGACUCCAACUGGAAUAGAUACUGCCAAACUGUAUCCCAUUCUGAUGUCAUCUGGGCUUCCCAGGGAAACUCUUGGACAGAUAUGGGCCUUAGCUAAUCGAACUACACCUGGCAAACUUACAAAAGAAGAACUUUAUACCGUUCUAGCCAUGAUAGCGGUAACACAGAGGGGCGUUCCUGCAAUGAGUCCUGAUGCUUUAAACCAGUUCCCAGCAGCUCCUAUUCCAACUUUAAGUGGCUUUUCUAUGACUCUGCCUACGCCGGUGAGUCAGCCAACUGUGAUACCUUCAGGCCCUGCGGGCUCCAUGCCCCUCAGCCUUGGACAGCCAGUCAUGGGCAUUAACCUUGUUGGACCAGUGGGUGGAGCUGCAGCCCAGGCUUCUAGUGGUUUCAUACCAACCUACCCUGCAAAUCAGGUAGUAAAGCCAGAAGAAGACGACUUCCAGGAUUUUCAAGAUGCUUCUAAGUCAGGAUCCCUUGAUGACUCGUUCAGUGAUUUCCAAGAGUUGCCUGCUUCUUCAAAAACAAGUAACUCCCAGCAUGGAAACAGGUAGAAAAGAGUUUCAUAUGUUUAACAUUGCAUUUAACCAUUAAGAAAGAGGCAUCCAUAAUAGGAAGGCUAGGUGUGAGAAAUUUAAAAAUUAAGACUCCUUACUCUACUACUUUCUGUGUUUAUUCCCUCUGUAUUAAUACUUUUACUUUUCAAACUUCUCUCCCCUUUGUCCACCUUAAACUUCAGCUCCUACUGUUUCCUGUAAGUACACACCUGCCUGCCAAUAUUCUUUUUUACCUGUGCCAAACCUUUAUUAUAGCUAAGAGCACCUGUGCAGUGAUGACUUCGUGUUCCUGUAUUACAGCAAGGUCUUCAACUGUUAAAAAGUUUUUUAGGCAGGAGCACAUAAUUGCACAUUUUUGUAAUGUUAUAUAUUGUUGCUUUUCCACAGAAUCAUAAUUCAGAACUCUAAUCAUAUUCAUUCACAUUUCUUGUAUAUUUGACAUUAGUGUCUUUUAAGCCUUCAGAUUUCUGUUGUUUGCAUAGACAGCUGCAUAAAUAUUGCUCUAAGGUUUUACACGCCACCUUAACCUUCAGGUACAGUAACUGAUUCAGUAUGUUGUCAGCAUUUUUAAUUUUUUUUUGAGAUGGAGUCUUGCUCUGUCGCCCAGGCUGGAGGGCAGUGGUGUGAUCUCGGCUCACUGCAACCUCCACCUCCCAAGUUUUCCUGCCUCAGUCUCCUUAGUAGCUGGGAUUACAGGUGUCCACCACCAUGCCCAGCUAAUUUUUUGUAUUUUUAGUAGAGAUGGGGUUUCACCAUUUCACCAUGUUGGCCAGGCUGGUCUCAAACUCCUGACCUCAAGUGAGUCUCUCUACUUGACCUCCUAAAGUGCUAGGAUUACAGGCGUGAGCCACCAUGCCCAGACAGCAUAUUAAAAAAAGUAUUUAGAUAUUUCUGCAAAGUGGAACACAUCAGACACCAGAGUAAGCGAUAUGAAUUCCUUUGGUUUUAUUUUUCGAAUUUGUUAUUGUCAGAAUACAUAUUCCAUGUCUCCUCUGUUCCUGUUUAUGCAGUUUCGCUCAUCUCUUCCCCUUUAGCCAAUUGAUUAUCUCUUAGUCAGCACUUUGCUGCAUACACACUGUAACAAGAACUAAGGGAUAGGCAUUAUAGAGAAUUACAAAUUAGGAAAAGAGAUUAUUCUCCUGAUUUUAAAAAUAUAUUAAAUGCAUGUACAUAACAUAUAGAAGAAACAUAUAAGGAAUGUGACCAUAGAGUGCUGGUAUUUCCAGGACUGCUGCACCAACACAAGUUAAACCUUCUAGAUGCAUAAAUUGUAUUUCUACUCCAGAUCUCUUCCUUCGAACAAAAUUUAUAUGUACUACUGCUAUCUAAGCAUCCCUAUCUGAAUGACUCAAGGCAUCUCAAAUUCACUGCAUGAAAUUACCUUUAUUGUUUUCCUACUCAAAGCCAAAUAAAAAUGUGUUAAAUCGUUAUUCCCUUCCUUGGUGAAUGAUGUCACCAUAUUCAGUCACCAAAUUAAAAGCAUGCUAUUUACUUUGGCUCUGUCAUCUCUCCUUUACCACCAUUAACUCUGUCAGCUCUGUGUGACAGUGUGUGAUCUUAACUCCUGCCCACUCUCAACUCUUGAUAUUCCCCAUGACUUACACUCCAGCCUUGCCAGCAUGACUCCAAACUGACCAUGUUCUUCCAAGUUUUAUCCAUUCUGUUUGCUUCAGUCUGAAAUACCCUUACCUGAUCUCCCUAUAGUUAUAGUUCCAUUUCAGAAAUCAGCUAAAUAUAGGAAGUUUUUCCUAACCAAUUCCCACCUCCUUUGCUACUGCUGUAGUACCUGAUGAAUAUCUGUGCCCUAAUUGUAAUUGCUGGUUUACCUGACUGUUUCCCUUUCUAGGCUGUAAGCAUCUGAAGACAAUUAUUCAUGUUUAUAUAUGUAGUGCUUGGCCCCAUCAUAUGUAAUUAAUAAAGAUCUGUUGGAUGACU